GCCUGAGUGGCUUAGUCAGUUAAGCCUCUGACUCUCGUUCAGGUCAUGAUCUCUCGGUGUGUGGGUUCAAGCCCUGCGUCAGGCU
This 85-nucleotide transfer RNA is filed under the name Felis catus (domestic cat). It matches the Rfam family "tRNA". Rfam says of the family: Transfer RNA (tRNA) molecules are approximately 80 nucleotides in length. Lineage: Eukaryota; Metazoa; Chordata; Mammalia; Carnivora; Felidae. The record is from Rfam by way of RNAcentral.